GAUGAACGCUGGCGGCGUGCCUAAUACAUGCCAGUCGAGCGAACAGAUGAGGAGCUUGCUCCUCUGACGUUAGCGGCGGAUGGGUGAGUAACACGUGGAUAACCUACCUAUAAGACUGGGCUAACUUCGGGAAACCGGAGCUAAUACCGGAUAAUAUAUUGAACCGCAUGGUUCAAUAGUGAAAGACGGUUUUGCUGUCACUUAUAGAUGGAUCCGCGCCGCAUUAGCUAGUUGGUAAGGUAACGGCUUACCAAGGCAACGAUGCGUAGCCGACCUGAGAGGGUGAUCGGCCACACUGGAACUGAGACACGGUCCAGACUCCUACGGGAGGCAGCAGUAGGGAAUCUUCCGCAAUGGGCGAAAGCCUGACGGAGCAACGCCGCGUGAGUGAUGAAGGUCUUCGGAUCGUAAAACUCUGUUAUUAGGGAAGAACAAAUGUGUAAGUAACUAUGCACGUCUUGACGGUACCUAAUCAGAAAGCCACGGCUAACUACGUG
This 497-nucleotide ribosomal RNA is filed under the name uncultured bacterium. RNAcentral's name for it is "partial 16S ribosomal RNA". It matches the Rfam family "Bacterial small subunit ribosomal RNA", at positions 28 to 507 of the family's 1533-position model. The record is from RNAcentral.